This is a non-coding RNA of Cryptococcus amylolentus CBS 6039, 104 nucleotides long. Lineage: Eukaryota; Fungi; Basidiomycota; Tremellomycetes; Tremellales; Cryptococcaceae. The record is from the annotation of a RefSeq genome assembly.
GGCCUAAUAGUGUAAUCGUCGCACGCGUCCUUCGGGAUUGAUUGAUUUUUCCGGUCACGCGACUUCAAGUGGACGUAGUCUGGGUUCAAUUCCCAGUUAGGCCC